GACGAACGCUGGCGGCGUGCUUAACACAUGCCAGUCGAACGGAAAGGCCCUGCUUGCAGGGUACUCGAGUGGCGAACGGGUGAGUAACACGUGGGUGAUCUGCCCUGCACUUCGGGAUAAGCCUGGGAAACUGGGUCUAAUACCGGAUAGGAGCCAUUUUUAGUGUGAUGGUUGGAAAGUUUUUUCGGUGUAGGAUGAGCUCGCGGCCUAUCAGCUUGUUGGUGGGGUAAUGGCCUACCAAGGCGGCGACGGGUAGCCGGCCUGAGAGGGUGGACGGCCACAUUGGGACUGAGAUACGGCCCAGACUCCUACGGGGGGCAGCAGUGGGGAAUAUUGCACAAUGGGCGCAAGCCUGAUGCAGCGACGCCGCGUGGGGGAUGACGGCCUUCGGGUUGUAAACUCCGUUCGCUAGGGACGAAGCUUUUUGUGACGGUACCUAGAGAAGAAGCACCGGCUAACUACGUG
This 465-nucleotide ribosomal RNA is filed under the name uncultured bacterium. Its description in RNAcentral is "partial 16S ribosomal RNA". It matches the Rfam family "Bacterial small subunit ribosomal RNA", at positions 28 to 507 of the family's 1533-position model. The record is from RNAcentral.